UGNUCUGUAACUGACGCUGAGGCUCGAAAGCGUGGGGAGCGAACAGGAUUAGAUACCCUGGUAGUNCACGCCGUAAACGAUGAGUGCUAGGUGUUAGGCCCUUUCCGGGGCUUAGUGCCGCAGCUAACGCAUUAAGCACUCCGCCUGGGGAGUACGACCGCAAGGUUGAAACUCAAAGGAAUUGACGGGGGCCCGCACAAGCGGUGGAGCAUGUGGUUUAAUUCGAAGCAACGCGAAGAACCUUACCAGGUCUUGACAUCCCGAUGCCCGCUCUAGAGAUAGAGUUUUACCUCGGUACAUCGGUGACAGGUGGUGCAUGGUUGUCGUCAGCUCGUGUCGUGAGAUGUUGGGUUAAGUCCCGCAACGAGCGCAACCCUUAUUGUUAGUUGCCAUCAUUCAGUUGGGCACUCUAGCGAGACUGCCGGUAAUAAACCGGAGGAAGGUGGGGAUGACGUCAAAUCAUCAUGCCCCUUAUGACCUGGGCUACACACGUGCUACAAUGGCUGGUACAACGAGUCGCAAGUCGGUGACGGCAAGCUAAUCUCUUAAAGCCAGUCUCAGUUCGGAUUGUAGGCUGCAACUCGCCUACAUGAAGUCGGAAUCGCUAGUAAUCGCGGAUCAGCACGCCGCGGUGAAUACGUUCCCGGGCCUUGUACACACCGCCCGUCACACCACGAGAGUUUGUAACACCCGAAGUCGGU
RNAcentral lists this ribosomal RNA (701 nucleotides) under uncultured bacterium. RNAcentral describes it as "bacterial SSU rRNA". It matches the Rfam family "Bacterial small subunit ribosomal RNA", at positions 730 to 1431 of the family's 1533-position model. The record is from RNAcentral.